GGGAGGAGAGGGUCAGCGCUGUGCCUGCAAAUCCCCAAGCAGAGGAGGCGCGGGGGCGUUGCAGGCGGGCGGGGUUGGGGGAGGGGAAGCGGUGGCAAACCCGAAGGAAGAAAGCUAACUUCAGGGGCAUCCCCCUCCUCCCCCCAGCCUCUGUUGGAAAUGAACUGCCGAUCUGAUUGCCCACUGUCGGGAGGUUAAGGGUUUUUUAAAAAAAAGGUGUCACCAGGUCUAGCUGUGGCUGUUAAGGGCAGUGUGAAAAGUGAUUAGCUCCAACCCCGCGGAGAGAAUCCCUGCCUGAGAGCUACUGGCUGACGUUCCCAGGCACCCGAGGCUGGCUUCCAGAGUCCCCUAGUCGGAGGGGGGUGAUUUGCUUACUAAUCAGAUGGGAGCGGAUUCUGAAGAGAACAUUUACAUUUGGGAGUUAGCGCGGUACCGGCGUAAAGAAGUGAUGCUGCUGACCACGUUUAGUGUGCAGAGCUGAACGCGACCCCGGGAGUAGGCAGAAAGCAGGCCUGGCCACCUAGGUCACUUGAACUGGGGAAGGAUGUGAAGCAGGCAAGGUGUGGUGCAGAGGAAACCCGAAAGGCCUCUUGAAGAGGGUAUUGGGCAGGGCCCGCCCUGGUUUUCCUCUGGUAAUUCUACAUAGAUGUCCAGUUAAAUCCCGGACCGGGACCCAGACCCCAGCAAAGCUCCCGGAAAACCCCUAGAGCCAGUCAUUGACGAAAAGUCGUUCCGUAACUGGAGCGGUCGGAACCCAGCCCUUUCCGGUUAGAGAUUAUGAGCACUUGAUCUUCGGUUUCUGUGCGCUCCUCCUCCGUCCAGACACCAGUCUGAAACAAACCCGAAUAGAAGAGUUUGGGGGAUGCUUUGGGAAGCUAGCUAACAAGCAUCCCUUCCUCGCGUACUUGGAGAAGUCUUGCACCGCACAAUUCCUCCCAGGAUAGGAUGCUUUGGAAUUUUGCUACCAAUAGAACUCUAGAGGCUUUACCUUUGCCUUGCGAAUGCACAAAGGCGCGCACACUCAGGCACACCCACACCCACGGGCUCGCUCCGAGUGCGCGCGUAGGCACCUGCGCAUAAUCAAGACCCACACAGAUGCCUCUUUGGGAGAUGAACUCAGCCUGGAGUACUUUAAGUGGUAACUGCUCCCAUUUCCUCCUCUCUUUCCUGGGCUCCCCUCUUUGCCGCCCAGCCCAGGUUCCAGGUUUAUCCCUGGAUGGUGCAUCCCUGGGUUUAGCAAUCUGAGCUAUCCUUUGGCUGCCUGAUUCCAGAAGAGCAGCGUGCCUGGGGCUGCGGUUCCCGCCGCACAGUCUCCGUCCAGUUUGGCUACACCGGCUGGGGCUCCCGGUUCCAGAGCAGUCUCCAGCAGUAGAUUGCAGAGCGUGAAGCGAGUUCGAGAGUCCGGGCAUCCACUCCGAGCAGCUAGAUACUGGCCAGUAAGAUUCCAUGCCAAUUUGUAAAGGGACUCUGGAGGACAAACACUUCAGCCAACACCCUGAAGUCUCCACUAAAAUCGAGAGCGCUUCCCCGGUGGGCUUCUGGUCAAGGAAGUGGAUAACCCAGUGCUCCAAGAAAUCCCAGGCGAGAACCUCCACGGAAGGGAGGUCAGUUCUGGAGGCACUCGAGAGAAAGUGAUGCUUUCUGAUUUCUCUUUAAACUUUGCAGCUUUGAGGACUCCAGGGCGACCGAUGGAGUCGCCCUAGCUCGGUCUCCAGGCAGAUCCAAAUGAGCACUUCCAAGUACUUUAGGACGUGGGGGUGACUCCUUUUUCCUUCAGGACUGUCCCACUUGUCCAGCUCAGCUGAAAGGAACUAGAGGUCUCCAAGAUAAGGAUUUGCAGUUCCAAGAAAGGGACAAAGUAUAUAUCCGAAUACUGAAUCAGAACCCCAAAGACUUUGCCUAUCUGGAUUGAGUAACUUCCUUUUUCCUUGUUUUUGAUUACAUUUUAUACCGGGACAGAGGUGAGAAAAGGACUCACCACCAAUUGGGCCAAGUGAAGAUGUUAACAGUAGGGAACAAGACAAAAUUCAAAUUUCACCUUGGGGUGCUUUUAAUUAAACCCGCGGGGGGUUGUUUUGCGGUGAGAAAAGUGACAUCAGCGUUUGGCUGAAGUGGGGAGCAGUGCAUAGGCUCUCAGUGUUCUUUCUAGGUUCAACUCUUUCCAGGCAGAAAUGGCCUCUUAACUUCACCUUCCAGGGCAGCGCUUACUGCUGAGGGUGUUUGCCUCUGCUCUCCCCGCUCCACCUCCCUCUAGGAAACUGUGUCUGCUGAGGCAGGAAUCUUUCACUCUGCAGAAACCGCAAGCUUUUCUCUGCUAUUUUAAUAUUGAACCGAGCAUAUGUUAGACACAUGAAGCAUGGGUGAAACAGAUUGCCCAGCUUGAAAAUCUUCCUCCUGCAGCAUAUGGAAACAAAUACAAAGACUCUCACCUGGACAUUGUGUAGAAAAUGAGAGACCUUGGAGGACUCAGGACUAAAAAGGAUGUCUCUAUCAAAUCCCUCCCUGCAGGGCUCAGGUCACCCUGCAGAAGAGCAGACAAAAAAAAAAAAAAAAAAAAAAAAGAGUAUAUGUGCCAAAGCAGAUGGAGGACACCAAGAAAACAAAGCCCUCUAAAUCAACAGAAUCUAAGCACAUAUAAACUCACGAGACUAAUGCAGCAUGCACAAGGCCUACACAGGUCUGUACCAGAUGCUGUCCUGGAGCUGAAAGGAAAAGUCGACAGAUGCUCCCAUUCCUAACCCUGUAACUAUCUCCAAUUGGUAUCCAUUUGCAAAUGAAAAUGAAGUUUCCUCCAAGCAAGUCUCACUGGAGAAACAAACUACUCUUAGGGGCAGAUGGCUUAGGAGUAGAUGACCAACAGAAAAUGAACUCAAUGGCAUCAUUGGAGGUUCCUUGUCUCAUCAUGUCAUGUCAGGGCUUUAAAAAACAAUUUUAGUACUAUAUAUAUAUUUUCUUUUUCUUUUUUUAACCCUACAAGUUCUUUGCAUAUAUAUUAUGCUUCUAGUUUAUUGUUUUUAUGGGAUUCCUGAGUGUCUGAACACAUGGGUCUCUGCAUCUAUAUUUGUUUUGUGUAUCUUUUCUUAGGCUCCUUUUCUUCUGUGUGUUUUGUCCUAUUCUUAAUUUAUUUUCUAGUGAGAGACAGAAAGGGGAUGGAUCUGGAUGAGAGAGGAGGUGGGAAUGAACUGGGAGAAGUAGAGGAAGGGGAAACCACAAUUAGGAUAUAUGAGGGAAAAAUAUCUAUUUUCAAUAAAAUGAGAAACACAUGAAAUGAAAAAGAAAGUCUUCUAAUUUCUAUUGUUACAGAAUUAUACUAUAUAAUAUAAGACACCCUUCUGUCCCUGCAAUAUAUUUCUUAUUAUGAUGUAAUAUGUGGCAAGGACUUCUUUUUCUCCUUAUUCUCAUGUAUUUUAUGUUUUCUUUAUGCUGAAAGGUGUACGAAACCUGCAAUAUUUAGGAUUUAAGGCUGAUGGAACUUUCAUGACUGAGAAAUUUUAACUUGUAAAUUGUUUUCUGAUACUGUAAAAAGUAUUCUGUAUAUUCAGGUCUGAUUUCAGACAUUUCAAGGAAAAUGUUCACUUUGGCUGUGCUGAAUAAACAGCUUUUAGGGCUGGUAGUUAAGUCACUUCUGCCUCCAGGGGAGGGAGAAGUGAGUGAUGGUGUUUUUCACCUACAGCUGCUGGACAAACCUGAAAAGAGAGCAAAUAUUUGCUUAAAUAUUUAGUGGGACUAAUUCUAUGAUGAGAACUGGGUCUUAUUGUUAUGUGAUUGAAAAAACAACCUUUGAAAAAAAUACAAAUGGAAAUACCUCACCUUAAAUGAUGCUAGCUGGUAAAUGCAAAUUUUAGUUCCCCAGAACAUGUUCAAAACCUUCAUCAGUCCACAUUUAUUCAUCAUUUCAAAUGAAUUCCAACCUCCCCAUCACAGAGAUCAGUCUCAGUGCUGUACAACAAUUCACACAUUCUCAUGAGAUCGUAAACAAGAAAUGACUAUGUUGAGAACACAUGCAUCUGAUAUGUUUUUACUUUUGUUCUUUUUGUUCCCCAAAGAAAAUGAACUAAAAAAAAAUCACAUAGACAUGAUUAACAUUGUUUACUAAAAGAAAAAUGAAAAUUCAAGUUUGUAUUCUUUAGUCUGUAAGAUGGGGGAGCUGUUGUGCUACAGAAAAUAGGCCCAUUCCAUUCCUUUCAGUACUUGGCUCUGAUUAAACCAUUUUACAUGAAAAUGUUGACCCAAGCCUUUGUACAUGAUAGCAUGACUGAGGCGGCAUAAGCUAAUGAAAAUGUGUGUCUAAAAGUGCUCCUUUUACCCCAAGUGUCAAACCUUGCUUUACUAAUACUUUAUUUAGAACAGGUACCAAUCAUUUCUACAACACCAAAAUUCAUUGAUUAAUAUUUUAUUUUUGAACUAAAAAUCAUCAAGUUGUACCCAAGAGAGUCUGCACAUCUGGGCAGCAUGAAAGUAUGUUUAUUUAAGAAUAAAGGCCUUGUUAGCAUUUGACUAUGCUUCCUCUUAAACCCUGAUAGACCCAACAAAUCUCUUAAUCCCUGUUAAGGGUAAGUGAAAAGAAAGCAAUACUAAUUUAACCUUGAGUAAAUCCAAGUCAGGAAAAUACAACCAGAAUGUCUUUAAUUUUUAAUCUUACAAAUAUGAAUACUGACAGGGGCAAAAAUAUUAAUAUCAUAAAUUAUAACUGAAAAUUAUUUUAAACUAGACUAGAACCUGGUCACAAGCCGGCAAAUGUGUCAUUCAUUUAUACAAUCGUUCCCCUGCUAUGGAAAUAACAUUAGCAGUUACCUUCUGCUGUGGAUGUGGGGAUAUGGACAAAGAGAAAAGCUUCUUUGCUGUGUGUGAUUGCUUUUCUAAUCCUUAUCUCAAAAGUUAGGAAGAACCCACAGCAGUAGGCAAGGGAGAUAACAGUGUAGCUUCUCUGCAAUGUGAGCAACCACUACAUGGGAAUUAUUUCCUUAAACUUGUUAGUCACCGGCCAUUGCAAUACGCUAUCAAUGCCCUUUUAUAUGUACUAAAAAUAUGAUGAUUUAAAGCUUAUGUAACUCAUGACUCUAGAUUAAUGAGUGUGAAAAGUGACUGAUUGUCCUGAAAAAUGGUAGCAUUGCUAGAACCCCAGCCACCCAGUCACAGUUUGUAGCUGACCGUGUCUUUGUUUAGGCAUUCUUUGUUAGUACUUCAGUGAUCCAGUUCCAACCCUCAAUACCUGGGAACAUUAUUUUGUAUUUUGCACUUUCAAGUCAGGCUUGAUGUCUUUCCUUGAUGUGUCUGUAAUGUCUACUAGAGUAGGCACUGUCUACAAGAAAUUUAAAAUGGAAGAAUAUUUAUAUAUGAUGGCAUGUAUCUCCCCAUACAGCAAAGCUUGACGUUUGUAAGCAUAUGUUAAAUGGUUCCUCCCUCAAGCUCUUUUAAAGUAUGGUUAACAAAUACUGCAUAGCCGGGCGGUGGUGGCGCACGCCUUUAAUCCCAGCACUCGGGAGGCAGAGCCAGGCGGAUCUCUGUGAGUUCGAGGCCAGCCUGGGCUACCAAGUGAGUUCCAGGAGAGGCGCAAAGCUACACAGAGAAACCCUGUCUCGAAAAACC
Molecule: long non-coding RNA, 5589 nt
Organism: Peromyscus californicus insignis
Lineage: Eukaryota; Metazoa; Chordata; Mammalia; Rodentia; Cricetidae
Exons: 3
Source: RefSeq, a predicted model, not a curated record